RNAcentral lists this ribosomal RNA (253 nucleotides) under uncultured bacterium. RNAcentral describes it as "partial 16S ribosomal RNA". It matches the Rfam family "Bacterial small subunit ribosomal RNA", at positions 524 to 776 of the family's 1533-position model. The record is from RNAcentral.
UACGUAGGGGGCUAGCGUUGUCCGGAAUCAUUGGGCGUAAAGCGCGCGUAGGCGGCCCGGUAAGUCCGCUGUAAAAGUCAAAGGCUCAACCUUUGAAUGUCAGUGGAUACUGCCGGGCUAGAGUCCGGAAGAGGCGAGUGGAACUCCUGGUGUAGCGGUGGAAUGCGCAGAUAUCAGGAAGAACACCAACGGCGAAGGCAGCUCGCUGGGACGGUACUGACGCUGAGACGCGAAAGCGUGGGGAGCGAACAGG